This is a non-coding RNA of Capsicum annuum, 107 nucleotides long. NCBI's taxonomy places the organism in Eukaryota, Viridiplantae, Streptophyta, Magnoliopsida, Solanales, Solanaceae. The record is from Rfam.
UGCUGAUGAUGUGGACAGUCCUAAGGAAAAGCUUUGAACCUCUCUCAUGCAUGAUAUAAGUUCUCGUCUGGCAUCUGUUUAAAGAUAAAAAUAUCACUGUGCAGUCU